UCUGUGUGUUGUGGUAUAUGUCUGUAAUCCCAACCACCAAGGAGGUCAAGGCUUGUAGAACCCUUGGCUCAGGCGUUUUAAGCCACAGUGGGCCAUGCUGAUUGGGUAUCUACAUUAACUUCAGCAUUAAUGUGGUGAGUCCCUGGGAUUAGGGAACCAGCAGGUUGCUUGAGGAAUGAUGACCUGGCCCAGCUCAGAAAUGGAAUAGGUCAAAGCCCCUGUCCCAGUCAGUAAUGGGACUGGGCCUAUGAGUAGCCUCUGCUCUUCCAGAUCAGCUGAGAUAGGCACACCCAGUCUUA
This 299-nucleotide signal recognition particle RNA is filed under the name Phascolarctos cinereus (koala). RNAcentral describes it as "Metazoan signal recognition particle RNA (ENSPCIG00000003052.2)". It matches the Rfam family "Metazoan signal recognition particle RNA". Rfam says of the family: The signal recognition particle (SRP) is a universally conserved ribonucleoprotein. It is involved in the co-translational targeting of proteins to membranes. The eukaryotic SRP consists of a 300-nucleotide 7S RNA and six proteins: SRPs 72, 68, 54, 19, 14, and 9. Lineage: Eukaryota; Metazoa; Chordata; Mammalia; Diprotodontia; Phascolarctidae. The record is from RNAcentral.